GUCCGCGUGGAGCAAUGCAGCUCACUCCCGCAUUAUAACCAGCGAUACUGUGUGGCCAGGGAGAGACGGUGGUUCGAGUCCGCCCGGGGAGA
Mycena olivaceomarginata is the source of this 92-nucleotide non-coding RNA. NCBI's taxonomy places the organism in Eukaryota, Fungi, Basidiomycota, Agaricomycetes, Agaricales, Mycenaceae. The record is from the annotation of a GenBank genome assembly.